GAUCAUGGCUCAGGAUGAACGCUAGCUACAGGCUUAACACAUGCAAGUCGGAGGGGCAGCAUGGUCUUAGCUUGCUAAGGCCGAUGGCGACCGGCGCACGGGUGAGUAACGCGUAUCCAACCUGCCUUACACUCUUGGACAGCCUUCUGAAAGGGAGAUUAAUACAAGAUGUUAUCAUGAGUAAGCAUUUUCGCAUGAUUAAAGGUUUACCGGUGUAAGAUGGGGAUGUCCG
RNAcentral lists this ribosomal RNA (232 nucleotides) under uncultured bacterium. Its description in RNAcentral is "partial 16S ribosomal RNA". It matches the Rfam family "Bacterial small subunit ribosomal RNA", at positions 15 to 237 of the family's 1533-position model. The record is from RNAcentral.